AAAACAUAGCCUCCUGAGAAACAUAGGAGGUCCUGCCUGCCCAGUGGCUAAAGCUAAACGGCCGCGGUAUCCUGACCGUGCAAAGGUAGCAUAAUCACUUGUCUCUUAAAUGGAGACUUGUAUGAACGGCAAAACCUCUCUUUACUGUCUCCCUAGCCCUCCUUAGAAACUCUUCCCUAGGUGAAGAAACCUAGAUGAAACAGAAAGACGAGAAGACCCUGUCGAGCUUCAGUCCAAAGAUAAUUUGGAACAUAGCUGCAAUAGCAGUUUUUAAAAAUUUAUCCAAAGACUUUGGUUGGGGCAACCGCGGAGAAGAAUAAUCCUCCGCAUAAAAACAGAUGAAAACAAUUCUCUAUUUAUACUAAUACGAACCAGAAACUGGUAAAAGGAAAAAGUUACCGCAGGGAUAACAGCGUAAUCCCCUUUAAGAGUCCUUAUUGACAAGAGGGUUUGCGACCUCGAUGUUGGAUUAAGACAUCCUUAGGGUGCAGAAGCUCUAAAUGGUUGGACUGUUCGUCCAUUAAAGUCUUACGUGAUCUGAGUU
RNAcentral lists this ribosomal RNA (544 nucleotides) under Pearsonothuria graeffei. RNAcentral describes it as "partial 16S ribosomal RNA". It matches the Rfam family "Bacterial large subunit ribosomal RNA", at positions 1810 to 2611 of the family's 2925-position model. The record is from RNAcentral. Lineage: Eukaryota; Metazoa; Echinodermata; Holothuroidea; Aspidochirotida; Holothuriidae.